UACGGGGGGAGCAAGCGUUGUUCGGAUUUACUGGGCGUAAAGGGCGCGUAGGCGGCUUAACAAGUCACUUGUGAAAUCUCCGGGCUUAACUCGGAACGGUCAAGUGAUACUGUCGGACUAGAGUACAGAAGGGGCAACUGGAAUUCUCGGUGUAGCGGUGAAAUGCGUAGAUAUCGAGAGGAACACCUGCGGCGAAGGCGGGUUGCUGGGCUGAUACUGACGCUGAGGCGCGAAAGCCAGGGGAGCGAACGGG
Molecule: ribosomal RNA, 253 nt
Filed under: uncultured bacterium
Lineage: Bacteria
Description: partial 16S ribosomal RNA
Rfam family: Bacterial small subunit ribosomal RNA
Source: RNAcentral